RNAcentral lists this ribosomal RNA (397 nucleotides) under uncultured bacterium. RNAcentral describes it as "partial 16S ribosomal RNA". It matches the Rfam family "Bacterial small subunit ribosomal RNA", at positions 523 to 918 of the family's 1533-position model. The record is from RNAcentral.
AUACGUAGGGGGCGAGCGUUGUCCGGAAUGAUUGGGCGUAAAGGGCGCGUAGGCGGCGCGGUAAGUCUGGAGUGAAAAUCCUGCUUUCAAGGUGGGAAUUGCUUUGGAUACUGCCGCGCUUGAGUGCAGGAGAGGUUAUCGGAAUUCCCGGUGUAGCGGUGAAAUGCGUAGAGAUCGGGAGGAACACCAGUGGCGAAGGCGGGUAACUGGACUGCAACUGACGCUGAGGCGCGAAAGUGUGGGGAGCAAACAGGAUUAGAUACCCUGGUAGUCCACACUGUAAACGAUGAAUGCUAGGUGUAAGAGGUAUCGACCCCUUUUGUGCCGGAGUCAACACAAUAAGCAUUCCGCCUGGGGAGUACGGCCGCAAGGUUGAAACUCAAAGGAAUUGGCGGGG